RNAcentral lists this long non-coding RNA (8965 nucleotides) under Homo sapiens (human). RNAcentral describes it as "HSALNT0019951". Lineage: Eukaryota; Metazoa; Chordata; Mammalia; Primates; Hominidae. The record is from RNAcentral.
GCCUCUGGGAUGUGGGCGUCCCAGACAAAGCCGCAUUGAUUGCAGCCCAGGCCGGCCCGGCCGCGAGGCCGCAAGCACUGGGUGGACCGUCGGACGGAUCGCGGGACCGAACGACGGACGCCCGGGGCCGGCGUGGGGCUGGUCGGCUGCCCGGGGCGAGGGCGGGAGACUUCCUGCUCAGAACCAGUCCGACCAGCUUGGCGCUGGGACGCCUCCCCGCGCUGUGCCGCGGCCCGGGGUGCCGAGGAGCUGGGCUGGGGGCGGGGACCCCUGCCGGGAACCCGACUUAGCCCGGAGACGCUCAAGAGCAAGAAGCCGAGCGGAAAAGUUAGCGCAGGUUGUGGAAAUCAUAUGAGUUCCCUGCUAGUGACAUUGGAGUGCACAGAUGAAUAUCGACAAGGCUCCAGGGAGUUCUGAACAGAGGCCAAGGCAGGCCCUGGAGCUGUAUGCUGCUUACAGGAAAAGAGAAAGAGGGGACCCCAAUAGUCUAGGUCCCUGGAUCCUCUGACCCGGGGCCUGACACUGUCAGGGAAGCUGCUGUCUCCCUAGGGACCUACUGAAUGUUCUUCCCAUGGCUGGUCAGUGCUGACACCUCAACACAGGAAGAGAAAUACUCCUAUGAAGUCAUCUGAAGCCUGGUCAUGCCAGGGACACUUCACGAAGGCAGGAACAGUCCUGUUUCUAAAAGCCCAAAAUCUAACAGCCUCUCUACAGAUAUAAAAGCCCAAAGACAUGGAAAGUUUGUAUGCAGACAACCCUAGAAGUAAGGAAAAGUGAAUGACAUAUAUGUCAAUGCCCAGAAAGUUCCUUGAGAUCAGACACUGUACAUUUAUGGGAUACUUUCUAAGUGCCAGCUACUGUACUUGGUGCUGGAUCAGUGCAUCCAUUUCCCGGGGCUCCCGUGAUGAAGUGCCACAAACUGGAUGGCUUUAAACAACAGAAGUUUACUCUCUCACAGUUCUGAAGGUUAGAAGUCUGCCAUGAAGAUGUGAGCACAGCCAGCCUCUCUCCAAAGGCUCCAGAGGAGAAUCCUUCCUUGCUUCUUCCCAGAGCUCCUUGGCAUACAGCUGCAUUACUCCAAGAUUUGCCUCUCUUGUCACACAGCAUUCUGCCUGUGUCUCUUGUUUGUGUUCAAGUAUCCCUCCACCCUAAUUUAGUAUGACCUCAUUUUAGCUUGAUUAUGCCUGCAAAUACCCUAUUUCCAAAUGAGGUCACAUUCACAGGUACCAGAAGUUAUGAAUUGAACACAUCUUUUUUGGGAUGUGUUCUACCCAUUAUAAUUCAUUCUACCCACUAUAAUCACAAGUGGCUUUGACAUUCAGUGACACAAAGAUGAUAAGGACUCGGUUCCUGACCUCAGGACAUUCUCAGUCUAUCAGUGAAGACAAACACAUGCUGGUGAACACACACACAUACACAAGCACACAUAUACCCCGAGCCUCAUUCAAGUCAGACUGUGAUUAAAAAUGGAAAUUGUGUCAUCAGGAGGGAUUGGGGAAGUCUUCACACAAGAAAGAACAUCUAAGUUGGGCCUUGAAGGGCUUGAGGUUGGCCCGCAGAUCCAUGGACACCUUGUGCUUGGAGCCCAGCAGGGCCCGGAGCAUGGCGUCAGCCGAGACACGGACUCGACGCAGGGGCGGGCGCUUGAACUUCCCACGGAGGUCCAUCACCUUCAGCUUCAGGUCCUUAAUCUGUAGGUGAGAAGCGCCCGGGGCUCACUGGAGAGGCAGCUAGCCACAGGACACCCUUCCUGAGGACCUCAGACUGCUAGGGUUCCAGCCAGAGAUACACCUUAAAUUGUCCACCCUUGAAGCCAGACCUAUCAGCAGUCACCAACCUUUUUGUCACCAGGGACCGGUUUUGUGGAAGACACUUUUUCCACGGAGAGGUGGUGGGGUGGUUUCAGGAUGAAACUGUUCCACCUCAGACCAUCAGGCAUGAGUUUGAUUCUCAUAAGGAGCGUGCAACCUAGAUCCCUCACAUGCACAGUUCACAAUAGGGUUCACACUCCUGUGAGAAUCUAAUGCCGCCGCUGAUCUGACAGGAGGCAGAGCUCAGGCGGGAAUGCUCAUUUGCCCACUGCUCACCUGCUGCAGUGUGGCCCAGUUCCUAACAGGCCACGGACAGGUACUGGUCCACAGCCCAAGAGUUGGAGAUCCCUGCUCUAGGACAGUCAGACCCACCCAUCCCUUUGCAAAUAACCACUGCACAUUUGCUGAUAAACGGAUGGUUAAGUGGACAGAUAAAGCCUAUUAGCCGUUGCUAACACUAUAGCCUUGAAUAAAAGGGGCGGCUCCACCAGACUGAGACUUGUCUGAUUUGGAAGCCCUAUUUGGAGUGCAGGGCUGCUUCCUCUUGUUCCUGCAGCCUCAUCCCUGCUUCUAACUUAUUCCUCCCCAGUGAGCCUUCAAAGCAGCUCACAGCCUUGGUCCAGCAGGGUGAUAAACUUACAGGUCCUAGACCCCUGGAGGAAUUCCCAGGGUGUGAUCUCUAGGGGGAGUUCUUAGGAGCUUGGUGACCCCACAUAUAAUUCCUGGUGGGCAGAAGUGGGAAGGAGAGAAGUGGCUUGUGCUCCCUCCCUGCCCCCUCCUCACUGCCUGGACAAAUGCCCCAAAGGAGCCCUGUCCUUCUCUGCUCUGCCCCUCCCCACUGGAGCAGGGUCUGGGUGGAGCUAAUCCUCCCACACCCCAUGCUAAGGGAGCACAGAGCACCGGAGUGGAAGCCAGAGACCAGCACUGGUCCCAGGACCACCACUGUGCAACCUAGGACAAGUCUUUGGCCUCUCUGAUCCUGAGUGUUCUCCUCUGCAAGGUGCAGAUAAUAGCCCCUACUUCAUCCACAGGCCUAUAAGGAGGAUCAAAGGCUAUAACGAACAUGAAAGCACUUCACAAAGGUAAGACGUUAUUAACAGGCAUAUGAUUAUUUGUGUGGGUGGAUAAAGAGAGCAGCUUCUGUUAGGCUGAUGAGCCCACAUGGCAGGUAGGGAGGAAGUUUGUACUUUUCAUGUGUGAUUAUCCACUCUACCCAUCUCCAGCCCUAUGGGGCUAGGGCAGACAAACCAAAGUUUCCUGCUUAAGUGGCCCCUUCCUAGGCCCUGUGGAAGGAGGGGACCUCCCAUGGCUGCUGCAUCCGUGCCCAUGCCCCUGCCCAACCCAUUAUGGCCAUGCCCCUUCCCUUCCUUAGACUCACCUCCCUGGUGUUGUGGAGGCAUUUGGCCUCAAUGUCGUAUCGCUCCUCAUCCACCACCUCCACCUUGGCGUGCAGCUCCCGGCACAGGUCCUGGGGGCCGCAGAUGGAUCAUGCAGGUGUGAAGAAGAGGGGAACAGAGACAUCAGUUUCCAGCCCUUGACCCUCUCCCCAGCCCCUUUGCAAGACCUGGGAUCCAGAGAGGAGCUGACAGUCUCCUCCACUCUGAGGCUCAUGACGGGCAAUAGCUCAAAGGGUAUGCCCUCUGUUCUCCUGUCUGAAUGUCAUGAUUUCUUAAAAAAUAGUAUUCCUUCGCUUGAACCCAGGAGGCGGAGGUUGCAGUGAGCUGAGAUCACACCACUGCACUCCAGCCUGGUGACAGAGCGAGACUCCGUCUCAAAAAAACAAACAAACAAACAAAAAACUAGUAUCCUUGGCUGGGCACGGUGGCUCAUCCCUGUAAUCCCAGCACUUUGGGAGGCCAAGGUGGGGGAUCACCUGAGGUCAGGAGUUCAAGACCAGCCUGACCAAUGUGGUGAAACCCUGUCUCUACUAAAAAUACAAAAAUUAGCCAGGCAUGGUGGUGUGCACCUGUAGUCCUAGCUACUUAGUAGAUUGAGACAGGAGAAUCACUUGAAUCUGGGACACAGAGGUUGCAGUGAGCCAAGAUCACGCCACUGCACUCCAGCCUGGGCAACAGAAUGAGACUCUGCCUCAAAAAAAAAAAAGUAUUCUUUCAUCAUGGCUCAUUGCAGCCUCAACCUCCUGGGCUCAAGUGACCCUCCCAUCUCAUUUUUUUAAACUUUGUAUAAAGAAAAGGUCUCACACUAUGUUGCCCAGGCUGGUCUCGAACUCCUGGGUUCAAGUAAUCCUCCUGCCUCCGCCUUUCAAAAUGCUGGGAUUACAGGCAUGAGCCACUGUGCCCAGCAAAAUAAAAUAGUUUUCUUAUGAUAAAAGUAAUGCGUUAAUUUUAGACAUUUUGAAAACUAUGUAUUAAACAAAAAUAAUAAAAAUUAAAAUACCUAGUGAUGCCACCACCCAGGGAUACUUAGUAACAUUUUGAUAUACUUCCUUCCAGUCUCUUUUCUCUAUAAUCACUGGCAUUUAACCAAUUUACCAGUGUUCUGAAAACAUUGAAGACCAAAUUCUAGGAAAGGGUAGACAAGUCCUUGGAAAAGUGGGGCUUCUCCCAACCCCGGCCGCCUCCCCACUCCAUGCCACCACACUGGCUGAUUGUGAAGCUGGGCCGCCCAGCCCAGGCAAGUCACGCCUCCCCUCUGAUGCUCAGUUCAGUGCCCGUAAAAUGGAAUCUAAUGUUCCCACCUCACAGGUGGUUGUGAAGAUUAAAUGAGACCAUGUAAGGGAGGAGUGCCCUGUAAAUUAUGGAGCCUUGAGCUGGUGUUAGUUCAGGCUCCUGCCGCCUGGUCCUUGGAGCCACCCACACAGCACCUCCAGCCCCACCCUGCCCCGCCCCACCUGCCAGGCUAACCUGCAGGGCACUGAGGGACAGGCCACGGGUCUGCAGCGUGGGGAUGCGCUCUGCCAGGUAGCGCACCUUCUCAGCCUCGCGCUCCUCGUGCUCCUGCUCCCAGCAUUCCUUGGCCUUGGCCAGCAUCAGGCUCUGGACAGGACACACCUGCUGAGCUGGGGGCCUCACAUCUCCCACCCGGCAUCAGGGAAUGAGGGGAGGGCAGCCACAGCCUGGGCCAACUCUGAGACCACUGUCCAGUGUAGAAGUGUAUGCAGCAGCCAUGGACAGGCCACCAUGAGGGUACACCCAGUGGCUGCACACAAUGUUCCUCAAGCCCUGGAACUUGUUUUCCCCGGACAGUCUUCCUCUUAUCCACUUACUGUCUGUUUUGACCCACAAAACUCCAAAGAGAGAAACACAUAUGAAAAUAAAGGAAGUCCCUCUGCCUGCAUGAGUAGCUUCCCACUCUGAAGCUGGUCACCACCUACUCUAGGGACCACAGGCGGAUGCCAGAAUCCAUACUCGAGGAUCCCACCUACUGAUCACCUGAGCCUGGCACUGGCUCCAGCAAUGCUGGACUCCUGCCCCUCAUCAUCCUCACUCUGGCCUCCUUCCUUUCUCCUUGCCAUAAUCCUCCACAUCCCUUCAGAGUCUGCUCUGCUGCCCCUCUGCCUCCCACUGGGCAUCCCCCCACAGCCAGCCCCCAGCCUCACCUUCAGCAAGAGUUUGCGGGAGGCAGUGAUCUUGGGUUUUCUCUGUGGGCAAGAAGAGAGAGAGACAGGUGGUGAGGCAGAGGCUGCAGAACUGGAAUUCUGGUCUAGGACAAGACAAGUGCCAGCCAGCGUUCUCUAUCUUUAUCCGGAAUCCUCUGCUCACCCUACGGUGCCUUAAAAGCUCAUCUUUGUUAUUUAACCUCUGCAGUUCAGAGAAGGCUGCAGUCAGCUACCUUGACCUAGGGGCUGAAGCCUUAACUUCCCACUCUGAUUCUGCUGCUGCUGAAAUCUUGUAAGAUACUAUGAGGGCCACAUGGCUUCUACAGGCACCUCCUUCCUCAUCUGUAAAUAAGGAUAUUAGGACCCCCCCCCUUACUUAGUUCACAGAGUUAUUGCAGAUGAAAUGAGAUCAUGGAUGUGCAAAUCCUUUGAAAAUCGUAAAAGCUAUGUGUUUUCACACUCCAGGUAGUAAUACAGCAAUACCUUGAUGAUCCGUCAUGCUGCAUAAAUAAGCUGUGAAUUUCCCAAAUAAAUGAAACGUAUCUAUGUAGACCUCAAAACUUUUAAAAAUGUUAACACCACCCAUACAAAUCUUUCUAAGAUAUAAAACCACUGUUUUAUCUUCUUAUCAAAAAUCCUAAACAUGUUCUUGCUUACUAGUCCUAGCCCUGUGACAGUGGUCCCUCAGGGUUGGCAAAGGUGAGUAGUAGGGCUGCUUGGUCCCCAACUAAUGAGACUGUGAUGCCUUUCGAGCACUAGAGUAUCUUCUGGGCCAUAGGCGGUCACUUCUCAUUGCCAGCAGGAAGCAUCCUACCUAGACUUAAUGUGCUGUGAGCCGGCAGAGCAUGGCUCUCAAAUGUUAUUCCAGGGUGUCAAGUAGAAGUGAUUAGGCUUUGAGAGGGAAGUUCUCAUGAGAGACAAUGGAUGAGUUUCAGCAAAUGGAAUGUGUAACUUCUAUUCUGACUGUUCAGAGUGGUUGGUUUGUCUUUUCCUCUCCUAAAGAUUUUUGUUACAUUUCAGAUAAGUGCAAUUUCAAAAGAAAGAGCCUAUGACUCUAAGCAUUACUACCAUGGUUUACACACUGUAAUGUACACAUGGCAAAUGUUUGACUGCGAUCUUAUUUCCCCACCACUUGGUGAGCCGAUGGCCACCUCAUUUGACCAUCAGUCAGUGAGGACUCACUUUAAUACGAGCCUCAGCAAAACUUAAAAAUUCAUAUGAAUGUUGAAAAGUAACAUGUUCAAUUCUUACUGAGAAUCUCUGUGCCAAAUAUCCCCUCCAUCAAUACUGCUAAUUCUCACUGUUUCCAUCCCUGGGCCCACAUCCCUAUCCCUGCCAUCCCCAUCCUUGGACUGUACAUAGGCUGUGAUCUCAGUAGCCUGGUAAGUCUGGAGUGUAUAGAAUGGCCAGUGUCAGGGUUUUCUAACACCUGAGGGAUUUAAGGACAUCUCUUUGCUCCUCAAUCAAUGUUCAGCCAUUGGGCAAGGGUGGAAUAACCCAAUGACUAUCCCUUACCCUUCCAAUAUAGCUUUGCACAGGAUCAGCUCUGCAUGGAAUAGGAUGGUCCCCCCAGGACUGGACCAGCUCUCAGAGUGGGUGAGGAAGAGCUUGUGCUCAGCAAGGAUGCAGAGUCACACCCAACCCUGCUGCAAUACCAGUCCUUCCAGUGACAUGGUACACUGGCACAGCAACUCCCUGGACACUAGGAAGCCCCACAUCCAGAAUCUUCACCUGACGUUUCCAUCUCCUGGGAAUUUGUUCAGCCACUAAAUACCCUACACCCCCUGGACUCCCACCAGGCCUUAACACAGGCUCUUCCCUCUCCUCAGAUGCCAACCCCACCUUCCCACUUUUACCAGUCGUUAGAGUUAACCAAGACAGAGAUACCCCAAAUAUCACUUACCUCGCUUCAGGCAUCCAUCACAGGAAGGACGGGGAAAGAGCAGAACACAGAGUGAGUAUGAACAAUGAGGAUUACAUGUGCAGUCGCAGAACCUCACAGACCAGCUUGGGGGAGGAGGGGGCCAGUGACAACAGUGAGCCAGAAAGUCAUCAGGCAUCAGGCAAGGGGAGCGGUUUGAGGUUCCGGCAGAAUAAAAUAAAAAUUCAACAGCCCUUUGAACUACGGGGCAUUCUUAUUGGGAGGUACUGGGCAUCGUAAGUUGGGGACAAGUGGUGGAAGGGGAGGGAAGCCUUAGCGUAGGGUUCCAGCAACGUGAAAGCAUCCAUCCACGGGUGCGUGGGUAAAUUCCCAAAGCUUUGUUCACCUACUGCACCAGUGUUAAGUGGUGGCCUGGUACAUGCAAUUCAUGUGAUAGAUCAAGACAGGAAAUCUCUGAGGCACAAGCCAAAAAGGCACUCCCAGGGCAACCUGGGAGUGAGUUCUGCUCAAUGGCUGGGAGGACACAGGCAGCACAGGGGAAACCAUCAAGUGCUGCCCCUGUUUGAGGACCUGGUCUCUUAGGGAAAAGCUUUGGGGGUUGAAAACAUGGUGCCUCCACUGCGGGGCUGAAGUCUGUGGCAAAGGGACUUGCCUUCCUGGGGCCCCAGAUGGCAGUGAGACUACUUACACUUCCGGCAUGGUGGCAGUGAGACAGCACCUAGGGGGCACAGAGGAAUCAUUCAUAAGGGAAAGUGGAAACCCCUGCCCCUGCCCAGCUGGGCCUUGGGAGCCCAGCCUAGGAGACAGAGUCAGAACACAAAAGGAAGAAAUCAGACACAUUGGAUUCCAGCAGGUCAAGAUGGGACAGGGUUGCAGGGCAGGGGUCAGCUAACUACAGCCCAUAAGCCUGACCUGGCUCCCAGCCUGUUUUUGCUUAAAGAAUUGUAAGCUUUUUUUUUUUUUUUUUUUUUAAGAAUUUGCAACAGAAACCUUAUGUGAGCUACAAAGCUAUCUGGCCCUUUCCAGAUAAAGCUUGCCAAUCCCAGUGGAGAACAGAAUGGAGUCCAUAGGAAAUAUGUUUGGAAAGUGAGAGCAGCUGGGCGCAGUGGCUCAUGCCUGUAAUCCCAGCACUUUGGGAGGCCAAGGCGGGCAGUUCAUGAGGUAAGGAGUUCAAGACCAGCCUGGCCAAUAUGGUCAAACCCCGUCUCUACUAAUGAUACAAAAAUUAGCCAGCAUGGUGGUGCACGCCUAUAGUCCCAGCUACUCAGGAGGCUGAGGCAGAAGAAUUGCUUGAACCCAGGAGGCGGAGGUUACAGUGAGCCGAGAUCGCACCACUGCACUCCAGCCUGGGUAACAGAAUGAGUCUCCUUCUCAAAAAAAAAAAAAAAAAAAUAAGUGAGAGUGUAGCUCACUCAUGAGGGCCUUGAAGGACAGGCUGAGUUUAGACUUUAUCCUGUGGAAUAAGGGUGGUCAUUGAAGGGCUCAGAGAGAGGAAGGCCUAGAAAGUGAAUGAGCAGAGUGGAUGCUGGAAAACGGGUAGCUGCCACAUGGCACAACUCCAUCCACAGAUGGCAAUGCAACUGGCACCUCCAGGGUGGGGCAGUGGGAGGCCUUGAGUGGGAGAGAAUAAGCCGCAAGGCAGGGCAAAUCCCGUGUUCACCCUAGUCUGUCUUUCCCCUCUCUGGGUUGGUUUUCCUCUCUGCAAAAUUAGGG